RNAcentral lists this non-coding RNA (142 nucleotides) under Agrococcus carbonis. Its description in RNAcentral is "FMN sequence". It matches the Rfam family "FMN riboswitch aptamer (RFN element)". Rfam says of the family: The RFN element is a highly conserved domain that is found frequently in the 5'-untranslated regions of prokaryotic mRNAs that encode for flavin mononucleotide (FMN) biosynthesis and transport proteins. The record is from RNAcentral. Lineage: Bacteria; Bacillati; Actinomycetota; Actinomycetes; Micrococcales; Microbacteriaceae.
CAACGUGCCCGGGGUCAGUGCAAGUCUGAACCGGCGGUGAGAGUCCGCGACCCGUGAGCCCGUCUCGUCCGAGGCGGUCGAUCGGCUGAGCUGGUGGAAUUCCAGCACCGACGGUGAGAGUCCGGAGGGGAGGCGCACGUGG